GGGACAAAGUGACAGGUGGUGCAUGGUUGUCGUCAGCUCGUGUCGUGAGAUGUUGGGUUAAGUCCCGCAACGAGCGCAACCCUUAAGCUUAGUUGCCAUCAUUAAGUUGGGCACUCUAAGUUGACUGCCGGUGACAAACCGGAGGAAGGUGGGGAUGACGUCAAAUCAUCAUGCCCCUUAUGAUUUGGGCUACACACGUGCUACAAUGGACAAUACAAAGGGCAGCGAAACCGCGAGGUCAAGCAAAUCCCAUAAAGUUGUUCUCAGUUCGGAUUGUAGUCUGCAACUCGACUACAUGAAGCUGGAAUCGCUAGUAAUCGUAGAUCAGCAUGCUACGGUGAAUACGUUCCCGGGUCUUGUACACACCGCCCGUCACACCACGAGAGUUUGUAACACCCGAAGCCGGUGGAGUAACCUUUUAGGAGCUAGCCGUCGAAGGUGGGACAAAUGAUUGGGGUGAAGUCGUAACAAGGUAGCCGUAUCGGAAGGUGCGGCUGGAUCAC
Molecule: ribosomal RNA, 503 nt
Filed under: Staphylococcus aureus
Lineage: Bacteria; Bacillati; Bacillota; Bacilli; Caryophanales; Staphylococcaceae
Description: bacterial SSU rRNA
Rfam family: Bacterial small subunit ribosomal RNA
Source: RNAcentral